This 427-nucleotide ribosomal RNA is filed under the name uncultured bacterium. RNAcentral describes it as "partial 16S ribosomal RNA". It matches the Rfam family "Bacterial small subunit ribosomal RNA", at positions 355 to 774 of the family's 1533-position model. The record is from RNAcentral.
UGGGGAAUAUUGGACAAUGGGCGAAAGCCUGAUCCAGCCAUGCCGCGUGUGUGAAGAAGGUCUUCGGAUUGUAAAGCACUUUAAGUUGGGAGGAAGGGCAUUAACCUAAUACGUUAGUGUUUUGACGUUACCGACAGAAUAAGCACCGGCUAACUCUGUGCCAGCAGCCGCGGUAAUACAAAGGGUGCAAGCGUUAAUCGGAAUUACUGGGCGUAAAGCGCGCGUAGGUGGUUUGUUAAGUUGGAUGUGAAAUCCCCGGUCUCAACCUGGGAACUGCAUUCAAAACUGACUGACUAGAGUAUGGUAGAGGAUGGUGGAAUUUCCUGUGUAGCGGUGAAAUGCGUAGAUAUAGGAAGGAACACCAGUGGCGAAGGCGACCACCUGGACUAAUACUGACACUGAGGUGCGAAAGCGUGGGGAGCAAACA